AUGAUGGCACACAUGUCAGUAUACAAAAUGAUUGCGCUCUCGGCCAUUGUUCGUCCAUAUAGCUCGAGCAUCUUCUUUCCCCUCUUCUCGAACCAAAUCUUUUUUCUUGGGGACACAUUUGCUCAAGUUUGA
RNAcentral lists this ribosomal RNA (132 nucleotides) under Triticum aestivum (bread wheat). Its description in RNAcentral is "partial small subunit ribosomal RNA". The record is from RNAcentral. Lineage: Eukaryota; Viridiplantae; Streptophyta; Magnoliopsida; Poales; Poaceae.